This 738-nucleotide ribosomal RNA is filed under the name uncultured bacterium. RNAcentral's name for it is "bacterial SSU rRNA". It matches the Rfam family "Bacterial small subunit ribosomal RNA", at positions 140 to 863 of the family's 1533-position model. The record is from RNAcentral.
GGGAUAACACCUGGAAACAGAUGCUAAUACCGCAUAACAACUUGGACCGCAUGGUCCGAGCUUGAAAGAUCGCUUCGGCUAUCACUUUUGGAUGGUCCCGCGGCGUAUUAGCUAGAUGGUGGGGUAACGGCUCACCAUGGCAAUGAUACGUAGCCGACCUGAGAGGGUAAUCGGCCACAUUGGGACUGAGACACGGCCCAAACUCCUACGGGAGGCAGCAGUAGGGAAUCUUCCACAAUGGACGAAAGUCUGAUGGAGCAACGCCGCGUGAGUGAAGAAGGGUUUCGGCUCGUAAAACUCUGUUGUUAAAGAAGAACAUAUCUGAGAGUAACUGUUCAGGUAUUGACGGUAUUUAACCAGAAAGCCACGGCUAACUACGUGCCAGCAGCCGCGGUAAUACGUAGGUGGCAAGCGUUGUCCGGAUUUAUUGGGCGUAAAGCGAGCGCAGGCGGUUUUUUAAGUCUGAUGUGAAAGCCUUCGGCUCAACCGAAGAAGUGCAUCGGAAACUGGGAAACUUGAGUGCAGAAGAGGACAGUGGAACUCCAUGUGUAGCGGUGAAAUGCGUAGAUAUAUGGAAGAACACCAGUGGCGAAGGCGGCUGUCUGGUCUGUAACUGACGCUGAGGCUCGAAAGUAUGGGUAGCAAACAGGAUUAGAUACCCUGGUAGUCCAUACCGUAAACGAUGAAUGCUAAGUGUUGGAGGGUUUCCGCCCUUCAGUGCUGCAGCUAACGCAUUAA